ACGUAGGUCACAAGCGUUGUCCGGAAUUACUGGGUGUAAAGGGAGCGCAGGCGGGAAGACAAGUUGGAAGUGAAAUCCAUGGGCUCAACCCAUGAACUGCUUUCAAAACUGUUUUUCUUGAGUAGUGCAGAGGUGGGCGGAAUUCCCGGUGUAGCGGUGGAAUGCGUAGAUAUCGGGAGGAACACCAGUGGCGAAGGCGGCCUACUGGGCACAAACUGACGCUGAGGCUCGAAAGUGUGGGUAGCAAACAG
Molecule: ribosomal RNA, 251 nt
Filed under: uncultured bacterium
Lineage: Bacteria
Description: partial 16S ribosomal RNA
Rfam family: Bacterial small subunit ribosomal RNA
Source: RNAcentral